GGACAGACGGGGACAUUCGUAUUGCGGCGCUAGAGGUGAAAUUCUUGGACCGUCGCAAGACGAACUAAGGCGAAAGCAUUUGUCAAGAAUGUUUUCAUUAAUCAAGAACGAAAGUUAGAGGUUCGAAGGCGAUCAGAUACCGCCCUAGUUCUAACCAUAAACGAUGCCAGCCAGCGAUUAGCCUGAGUUCCUUAAAUGACUCGGCUAGCAGCUUCCGGGAAACCAAAGCUUUUCGGUUCCGGGGGAAGUAUGGUUGCAAAGCUGAAACUUAAAGGAAUUGACGGAAGGGCACCACCAGGAGUGGAGCCUGCGGCUUAAUUUGACUCAACACGGGAAAACUUACCUGGUCAGGACACUGGAAGGAUUGACAGAUUGAGAGCUCUUUCUUGAUUCAGUGGGUGGUGGUGCAUGGCCGUUCUUAGUUGGUGGAGCGAUUUGUCUGGUUAAUUCCGAUAACGAACGAGACUCUAGCCUACUAAAUAGACUGCUCAACUUUAUAGCUGCAUCACCUUGCAGUUGCUUCGGUGGCUGUAAGGCUGUGGUGACGUUGGCAGUGCUUCUUAGAGGGACAGGCGGCGGUUCAGCCGCACGAAACAGAGCAAUAACAGGUCUGUGAUGCCCUUAGAUGUCCAGGGCCGCACGCGCGCUACACUGAAGUGAUCAGCGUGCAAUUAACGUUUCCUACUCCGUCAGGAGUGGGUAACCCGUUGAACCUUCUUCGUGAUUGGGAUAGGGGAUUGUAUUUAUUCCCCUUGAACGAGGAAUUCCCAGUAAGCGCAAGUCAUAAGCUUGCGUUGAUUACGUCCCUGCCUUUUGUACACACCGCCCGUCGCUACUAC
RNAcentral lists this ribosomal RNA (839 nucleotides) under uncultured eukaryote. Its description in RNAcentral is "bacterial SSU rRNA". It matches the Rfam family "Eukaryotic small subunit ribosomal RNA", at positions 876 to 1685 of the family's 1831-position model. The record is from RNAcentral.